RNAcentral lists this ribosomal RNA (465 nucleotides) under uncultured bacterium. RNAcentral describes it as "partial 16S ribosomal RNA". It matches the Rfam family "Bacterial small subunit ribosomal RNA", at positions 28 to 506 of the family's 1533-position model. The record is from RNAcentral.
GACGAACGCUGGCGGUGUGCUUAACACAUGCAAGUCGAACGGUAAGGCCCUUUCGGGGGUACACGAGUGGCGAACGGGUGAGUAACACGUGAGUAACCUGCCCUCAUCUCUGGGAUAACAGUCGGAAACGGUUGCUAAUACUGGAUAUGAGCUUGCAAGGCAUCUUGUGGGUUGGAAAGAUUUUUUUGGUUGGGGAUGGACUCGCGGCCUAUCAGCUUGUUGGUGAGGUAGUGGCUCACCAAGGCUUCGACGGGUAGCCGGCCUGAGAGGGCGACCGGCCACAUUGGGACGGAGAUACGGCCCAAACUCCUACGGGAGGCAGCAGGGGGGAAUAUUGCCAAAUGGACGGAAGUCUGAUGCAGAAACGCCGGGUGCGGGAUGACGGCCUUCGGGUGUAAAACCGCUUUCAAUUGUGACGAAGCUUUUUGGGACGGUAGCAGUAGAAGAAGCACCGGCUAACUACGU